GCCGCCGUAACGUAGCUUGGUAGCGUACAGGCCUGUGGAGCCUGGAGGCCGGGUUCAAAUCCCGGCGGCGGCC
This 73-nucleotide transfer RNA is filed under the name Candidatus Bathyarchaeota archaeon. RNAcentral describes it as "tRNA-His". It matches the Rfam family "tRNA". From Rfam's summary of the family: Transfer RNA (tRNA) molecules are approximately 80 nucleotides in length. Their secondary structure includes four short double-helical elements and three loops (D, anti-codon, and T loops). Further hydrogen bonds mediate the characteristic L-shaped molecular structure. tRNAs have two regions of fundamental functional importance: the anti-codon, which is responsible for specific mRNA codon recognition, and the 3' end, to which the tRNAs corresponding amino acid is attached (by aminoacyl-tRNA synthetases). tRNAs cope with the degeneracy of the genetic code in two manners: having more than one tRNA (with a specific anti-codon) for a particular amino acid; and 'wobble' base-pairing, i.e. permitting non-standard base-pairing at the 3rd anti-codon position. The record is from RNAcentral. Lineage: Archaea; Thermoproteati; Candidatus Bathyarchaeota. RNAcentral also lists the same sequence under 3 other names.